This 74-nucleotide transfer RNA is filed under the name Candidatus Gracilibacteria bacterium CG2_30_37_12. Its description in RNAcentral is "tRNA-Cys". It matches the Rfam family "tRNA". Rfam says of the family: Transfer RNA (tRNA) molecules are approximately 80 nucleotides in length. Their secondary structure includes four short double-helical elements and three loops (D, anti-codon, and T loops). Lineage: Bacteria; Candidatus Altimarinota. RNAcentral also lists the same sequence under 1 other name. The record is from RNAcentral.
GGCGCCAUGGCAGAUCGGUUAUGCAGGGGCCUGCAAAGCUCCGUAGUCCGGUUCGACUCCGGAUGGUGCCUCCA